GUCUCUGCAGUUGCCUUUGAUGAUGACAUUGCUAUUGUUGAUGGCCGUCUUUUGCCAUUUAGGAAUUAUUACAUAUCAAAUGCAGAAGUCCGUGAAAUUCCCGACCUUGUGGGGACUGGCCUGUAUUCAUUUUACUGGGUUAUUAAAGAGGGAACUGCUAUUGAAGAGGCUACUGGCUCAGGGGAGUUGGCCCUUCCUUUCUAUUUUGAGUUGCGCUCUUUUCAGUACUUUCACUUUGUGGUUGACACAGAUAUUUUUAUAAGUUCGUCUCUUUUUUUGAUAUGCUUUGCAUUUCUUCCUUUCUUGCUGUUUGAUUGUUCCUGAUUGUUUGCAUGUUUGUUUUUAACCUAGAUGUCAUGGGAGUGGUCAUCCAUGCAUUACCUCCCCGGGAUGUGUAUUUUGAAGGGAGUAAGCGAUAUGGAAGAGAUUAUAUUAUAGUUGACCAAUG
This 448-nucleotide long non-coding RNA is filed under the name Coffea arabica (coffee). Its description in RNAcentral is "long non-coding RNA (CARA_LNC005737)". The record is from RNAcentral. Lineage: Eukaryota; Viridiplantae; Streptophyta; Magnoliopsida; Gentianales; Rubiaceae.